Non-coding RNA from Ixodes scapularis (black-legged tick), 47 nucleotides. The record is from Rfam. NCBI's taxonomy places the organism in Eukaryota, Metazoa, Arthropoda, Arachnida, Ixodida, Ixodidae.
UAAACGGCCCUUUUCAGGGCCCUUAUAUUUUGCAAAGGGAGCUGCGU